UGAGAGGAGCUGUCCUUAGUACGAGAGGACCGGGAUGGACGCACCGCUGGUGUACCAGUUGUUCUGCCAAGGGCAUCGCUGGGUAGCUAUGUGCGGACGGGAUAAGUGCUGAAAGCAUCUAAGCAUGAAGCCCCCCUCAAGAUGAGAUUUCCCAUUCCGUAAGGAAGUAAGAUCCCUGAAAGAUGAUCAGGUUGAUAGGUCUGAGGUGGAAGUGUGGCGACACAUGGAGCUGACAGAUACUAAUCGAUCGAGGACUUAACCA
This 262-nucleotide ribosomal RNA is filed under the name Bacillus subtilis. RNAcentral describes it as "partial 23S rRNA. Bacterial LSU". It matches the Rfam family "Bacterial large subunit ribosomal RNA", at positions 2663 to 2925 of the family's 2925-position model. The record is from RNAcentral. Lineage: Bacteria; Bacillati; Bacillota; Bacilli; Caryophanales; Bacillaceae.